AGAGAGAGACAUGCGCGCAUAUCAAUAAGCGGAGGAAAAGAAACUAACUAGGAUUCCCUUAGUAACGGCGAGUGAAGCGGGAAGAGCUCAAAUUUGAAAUCUUCAAGGUUUUACCUUGACGAAUUGUAGUUUAAAGAAGUGUUUUCUGCUGGAAGUUUUGGUAAAAGUUCUUUGGAAUAGGACAUCAUAGAGGGUGAGAAUCCCGUAUUUGACCAUUAUUUUCAGCUUUGUGAUACACUUUCAAAGAGUCGGAUUGUUUGGGAAUGCAGUCCAAAAUGGGUGGUAAAUUUCAUCUAAAGCUAAAUAUUGGCGAGAGACCGAUAGCGAACAAGUACCGUGAGGGAAAGAUGAAAAGAACUUUGAAAAGAGAGUUAAACAGUACGUGAAAUUGUCAAAAGGGAAGCGUUUGACACCAGUGUUGUUUUCUCGAAAAUCAAUUAAAAAUGGCUCGAUUUUGUAUUGUUGAGACCUUAAAAGCUCACUGUACAUUUUUCGUGUCUUUUUUAAUGCACUUUUCGUUUAACAAGUCAACAUCAGUUUCUUUUGUUGUAAAAGGGUCAUUGGAAGGUGGCUUUCUUUUCGGAGAAAGUGUUUAUAGCCUUUGGCCUCUGCAAUCGGAGAGACUGAGGUCUGCAGCGUAGACUCUUCGGGGUUAGAUACAUUUGUGCUAAGUUAUAGCUUUUUAUAGACAACUUGUUGACUAUAAUUAGUCUUGUAGCUUACUCGCUUAUGCUAUUUUACCUACGCUUAGGAUGUUGAGUCGUAGAGCACGCAG
RNAcentral lists this ribosomal RNA (775 nucleotides) under uncultured Neocallimastigales. Its description in RNAcentral is "partial large subunit ribosomal RNA". It matches the Rfam family "Eukaryotic large subunit ribosomal RNA", at positions 23 to 634 of the family's 3401-position model. Lineage: Eukaryota; Fungi; Neocallimastigomycota; Neocallimastigomycetes; Neocallimastigales. The record is from RNAcentral.